CACCACGGAAGACCGUACCAAUGGCGC
RNAcentral lists this non-coding RNA (27 nucleotides) under Homo sapiens (human). The record is from RNAcentral. Lineage: Eukaryota; Metazoa; Chordata; Mammalia; Primates; Hominidae.